Molecule: ribosomal RNA, 497 nt
Filed under: uncultured bacterium
Lineage: Bacteria
Description: partial 16S ribosomal RNA
Rfam family: Bacterial small subunit ribosomal RNA
Source: RNAcentral
GAUGAACGCUGGCGGCGUGCCUAAUACAUGCAAGUCGAGCGAACAGAUAAGGAGCCUGCUCCUUUGACGUUAGCGGCGGACGGGUGAGUAACACGUGGGUAACCUAUCUAUAAGACUGGGAUAACUUCGGGAAACCGGAGCUAAUACCGGAUAAUAUUUCGAACCGCAUGGUUCGAUAGUGAAAGAUGGUUUUGCUAUCACUUAUAGAUGGACCCGCGCCGUAUUAGCUAGUUGGUAAGGUAACGGCUUACCAAGGCGACGAUACGUAGCCGACCUGAGAGGGUGAUCGGCCACACUGGAACUGAGACACGGUCCAGACUCCUACGGGAGGCAGCAGUAGGGAAUCUUCCGCAAUGGGCGAAAGCCUGACGGAGCAACGCCGCGUGAGUGAUGAAGGUCUUCGGAUCGUAAAACUCUGUUAUUAGGGAAGAACAUACGUGUAAGUAACUGUGCACGUCUUGACGGUACCUAAUCAGAAAGCCACGGCUAACUACGUG